Molecule: RNA transcript, 3024 nt
Organism: Mycetomoellerius zeteki
Lineage: Eukaryota; Metazoa; Arthropoda; Insecta; Hymenoptera; Formicidae
Exons: 10
Source: RefSeq, a predicted model, not a curated record
UUCCUGACUAAUAAAAAGAGAUAGAUUUUUGAAGAGUUCUUAAAAAAGUGCAACUUGAAAAGAACAAAUAUUGAUCGUACGAACGACAAACAUUACUGUAAAAAAUCAAAUUAGUGCGAUAGACAGUGUGGACAGUAGUGAUUCUGGGUGUGUUCCAUGUCAUUAAGGUUAUGUCACACGUUAUGGACUGACAAUAUCGUUCUUGAUUUCGGGCGUUUUAGAACACGAGAACGUGCUCAGUAGGAAAUUUAUAAUAUGAUACGACCUUUCUUUGAAGAAGAUGCCUGGUGCUACUGGGUUGUUUCAGUUGGUGCUCUGCUAUCAUUUCUCGGUCUUGUUGCUACUUGUAUCUGCAGUUGUCGACGAAAUGAGAAUAAGAAUGAAUUUCUGGACCUCGCUGGUACAGUAACACUGAAUAAUUCUGAAACAGACAAUUUCGACAGAAUUCUGACAUUGGAUGUAUGCCAGGUUGUUGAGCAGGAUAUCAACGAUGGAAAAAGGACUACAAGUGCCAACAGAAGUCUUCCAGAUAUUCCAAAAGAUAAGAGCAGAGAACAUGAGAACAUGGUAGAUUCAGAGCCUCAAGAUAUUUAUGAUACUACCGAAAUUAUGGGGGACCAUUCAGAAUUAUAUGCUACAGUCCAAGAUGCAGCUCAAGAACAAAUGUUUGAAAGGGAAACGCAAGAAGUUAUCUUGCAAGGAUGUACCUUGCCACAAGAUACGUCUCAUCAAUAUACAAGAUUUGCAUCUCCUGUUUCUGACAAUCUUGAACAUCCUUACGCCCAACUUCAAAAUGUUCAGAAGACUGAGGCUAGUCAAAUAAAUAGAAAUAAUGUUAAUCAAAUUACGAAUACUGAAAAACCAUCAACAUCAAUGGAUCAGUCAAAUGAAAAUCCAAUCGCGCCACCGAGAACUCGACGAUCUUCAUCCCACAAUUCACUUCUUAAUUCUGAGUUACAUUACGAUAUCCAGGCUGCUAACGCUAUUUCUGGUAGUGUUCAAGCUAAUCAAGAUUUACCCUACAUGACACCGCCUCUCUUAAUGCUGCUGCCACAAUCACUGCAUCCCCAACAUAAUAAUCUGCAACAACACUUCAGUGGAGACUCGCAAGAUUCGAAAGGAUAUACAAGCAUAAGCGUGAGGGAACCAUUAGCCAAUAUAAUAGCACAAAGUAAAACAACUUACAGACAAAAUCAAUCUACUCGACCAAUCACUGAUCCCCAUUAUGCUACUGUUUCUGAUGAUUCUGAUGAAAUGUAUGCUGCAAUUGACGAACAGGAUAAAAUAUAUACUAGUGGCAGCGAAACAUAUGCACAAAUUCAGCCAAUGACAUCAGAAGUGCAAGUUCAACAUGAACAAAUAGUAUUUUGUCAGCCUCUGCGCACAGAAGAAACACAUUCUGCACCUCAACCACCGAGUGUCGAUAGUUUACGCCAUGUUGCACACGCCCAUUCUAGGCAAGCCUCAUCGUCAAGUGCCAAUAGCUCCAUUAUCAAUCUCGGAUCUCCUAAACCUGAAAAACGUCAAGCAAAUUCUCCUUUACCACCGCCACCCGAAGCAACCGCAGAGGCGUACGCAUCUAUUGAUAAAAAAAAUAAAAAUGACGAUAAAUCGAAGUCUUCAUUGUCAGCGGGUAAAUCACUCGAGGAUAUGUACGCGAAGGUGAUGAAGAAGAAAAAGGAGAUAGAGGAGCAACAAAAUGAUGCUCAUCCAAGCUUUAACAAUGUUUUACAUUCUGAAACAAAUGCUUGUAGAAAAUUAAGUCUUAUAGAAAUCAGCCGAGCGUCAUGGUGCAGCCACGAAUCUGUGGAAAUACAGAAAAAGGAAUCCGAUUUUGUUCACUGUUCCACCAAUAGCAGUUCUACUACAAGCAAUUUUUACGCAGAAAGUAACAAGGGCACUCCUUUAAAAGUACCUAAAGAUGAUGCGGAUGUGAUCUCGUUACAUUUAGAAUCUGAUCAUGAAUAUGAAGCCGUUAAUUCUAACAGUCAAAGAAACUCUGUUGCAAGAAUCGUUAUGAAUUCAUUUAAUUCAAACUAUGAUAUAUUACGUCAGCAGUCUUCGCAAGAAAAUGAAAAUAAUUCGAUAUCUAUGAAAAAUAAUACGGAUAUAUAUUCGACACCGUUUAAGCGCAGACAAGUAAGUAACGCUAGCAGCGACGAUCCCGGUUAUGAGAAGGUGCGAUUGCAACAGCGAGAUCACGAAAUAGAUUCGGAGCCAAAUUACGAAAGCAUGCCACAUGAUACGAACGAGCCGAACUAUGCAUCCGUUUGUCGGCCUGGUGACAGUGAUACGGACCCAAAUUACGAGUCUGUGAACCACACCGAUCCGAAUUAUGAAAGUGUGAAAUACAUGAGUGUCGGGCAGAGUGAAGAACCACCGUAUGAGCAAGUGAAUAAUUUGUUGUUAGAUGCAAAUGCGGACGGUUAUGAGAAAGUAAAAAAUAAGAAGAAAGCGGACAGCAAUUACGAAAAAAUAAUACUACAUAAUUCUUUAGAAAGAAUUAGCAACGGAGGGGAUACUGACGACGAACAAUUCGUUCAAGUGUAAUGUUCUUAUUUUGCGUUACUAUGAGUCCUAAUGAUCGAACUGUGUGUUCAGUGUUCUUUGUAAUCUCAAGCUCAUUCAAAAUUGAGUGAACAAGAUUUGACUUUAUAUUUUGCAACAAGCGAUUUACAAACAAUGUAUCAAAUGGCAUUGCUAUAAUAAUGAGAAUAAGACUGAUGAAGACAGACAGUAAAAGAUAAUAUAUAUAAGAGUAUUCGAAAAGUUACCAAUAAACGAGUCAAAAUGUGUAAUUAAUUCUAUACUCUGUUCAACGAGAGAAUGACUUCGGUCUACGCAUAGGAGGUAUAACGGGCAAAGUAGGAAUAUAGCCAUUAUCGUAUAUGUACAUAUGGUACUUCCGGACUCGGGCUUAUAAAAUUGACCGGAUGAAAUAAUCAGAGUUGGGAAGCGUUACUUGUAACACUAUUACUUUUUUCGUUACUUUUCGGUAACGAUCGUUACUUUUUUCUGUCUUAU